Long non-coding RNA from Brachypodium distachyon (stiff brome), 1460 nucleotides. RefSeq lists it as uncharacterized. The record is from RefSeq and is a predicted model, not a curated record. Lineage: Eukaryota; Viridiplantae; Streptophyta; Magnoliopsida; Poales; Poaceae. The transcript has 6 exons.
UAGCACUUGACGGUGUUAGACUUAUCCCAUAUAGAGUUUUCACUAAAUUUUGGGAUCUGCGAAGCACUUGAGGUGUUAAAGAUGGAAGAUUGUAUUAUCGAUUACCUUUGGAGUUCUUUGCCGGAAUCUUUAUGACGUCUGACAACCAGAAAUUCAUUGAUAUAUCCUGUGGAUGACCCUGAUACCCGGCCAUAUAUUUCUGCUCCAGGUCUGGUUAGCUUAGAAGUAUCCGACUGAUUGUAUUCGACUCCAUGGCUUGAUGGACUGCCGUCAUUGAUGACAGCAUAUAUCAGGGUCGCAGAAGAUUGUGAAGAUUGUUGUUCUGAAUUUCGCAACUUUGGGGAAUGUGGCGAAAAGUCAUGUGAGGGGUGCCAUGAUGAAGAUGAUUGUCUGCUUUUUCUCAAAGCUUUGUCGGGUGCUACGAAUUUAGAGCUAAUGAGUGCAACAUAUCUGAAUUUUGGAAAGGACUUGAAAUGGUUCCCUGUGUUUAGCAAUCUGAAAACAUUGUUGCUCAAUGAGUCAAUGAUUGGUGUCUGGCUUCAUACUUCAAUGGACUAGUUUACUUUCUCCAGAACUCACCAAUUCUUGAGAAGCCCUUCAAGUUAGAUUUUUGCAAGAGUUUGUUUGCUGCAGGAAUCUGACACCAUAAUGGGUGAAUUUGACUACCCAAGGAAUCAAUUCUUUGUAUCCAAGCAUCUCAAGGUAAUUAAAAUCAAAUGCCGGAAGCAAAAUAAAUGGAUUCACCAAAUAUUAAAUGUCCUCAGUUACCAUGGAGUUCAAUCUGAACUAUUUACCAUCAAAGAGAAGUUCCGGUGUUCUACAACAACAUACGGAUGGUACAAGGGAUCCAUGGUCCCCAAACAAGGGUAAGGGGCAAAAGGAGGCUCAAAGGUGAAGCAAGAGGCAAGAAUUGAAUGGAAGAAAAAGCCUGUCAGCAUUUGGUCUUGCGUGGGAAUCUGGUUUGAGACGAAGCUUAAGAGUACGGUCAAGGCCUUUGCAGGAGUGGCUCGGUGAAACAUUCGUAUAUGGGCGUAUACAUGGCACAAUGAGAGUCAUUGGCGUUAAAUUUUAUUCUCCCAGUCACGACGGCAAGGCUGCAUUGAGAGUGAAAUCCUUCGUGCUAGAACUAUAUUCAGAUGUACUGAGGCCCCCCCACCCCCCCGCAACGCAUCGAUGUGUUGCCGAAUGUCUAUAUAGGCGUUGCUAGUGUCUGCACCAACGCAAGCUGCAUGUGUUGAAUUUUGUGGCGUUGCAAGGAUCCAGUGCAACGCAUAUGCCUGCGUUAGUAAAAGCCAUGAAAAAGCGUUGGAAGAUUGCAACAUAUAUUUGCUGCAACAUAUAUUUGGUAACACUUCUGAUAACAACGGAUUUGUAUGCGUAAUUUUGGUAGUGUUGCAGCGGAUUUAUUACUACUCAUUACGAUGAUACGUAUGUUUUAUGGAAAGAACCUUUGCAUGCUA